GAAAUGCGAUAAGUAAUGUGAAUUGCAGAAUUCAGUGAAUCAUCGAAUCUUUGAACGCACAUUGCGCCCCCUGGUAUUCCGGGGGGCAUGCCUGUUCGAGCGUCAUUUCACCACUCAAGCCUCGCUUGGUAUUGGGCGACGCGGUCCGCCGCGCGCCUCAAAUCGACCGGCUGGGUCUUUCGUCUCCUCAGCGUUGUGGAAACUAUUCGCUAAAGGGUGCCGCGGGAGGCCACGCCGUAAAACAACCCCAUUUUCUAAGGUUGACCUCGGAUCAGGUAGGGAUACCCGCUGAACUUAAGC
RNAcentral lists this unclassified non-coding RNA (300 nucleotides) under plant metagenome. Its description in RNAcentral is "partial contains 5.8S ribosomal RNA, internal transcribed spacer 2, and large subunit ribosomal RNA". The stretch from base 1 to 105 matches the Rfam family "5.8S ribosomal RNA", at positions 50 to 154 of the family's 154-position model. The record is from RNAcentral.